GUCGAUUUGCAGGCAGUCCGCUUUGUACAAGCCAUGGUAUAGAGGCUUCCUUAUUUACCUCCCUUAUCCUUCAGCUGGAGCUCUGCGAGCCAGAGGCAGCGCUGGCGUUGGAGAGUGAUGGCGGCAUGGCGGUGCGGCGGCGGCUGCGAACACCUUGAGGACGGGUCGCAUUAUGUUGCCCAGGCUGGACUUGAACUUCUGGGCUCGAGCAAUUCUCCCACCUCAGCCUACCAAGCAGCUGGGACUACAGGUCUGCACCACUGCACCCCACCCAUUCAAGUCCACAUCCCCAGAAACGAGGAUAAUGCUUGGCACAAGGUGUUUAUAAUUCCCUUGGUUUUCUUCACAAUUUCACCACAUAAAUGAGGAAAAGUUUGAAUACCUUCAUCUUAGAUUGGCAAGAGAAGGGGGAUAAUAGUCUCACCAAAAGGAAUAGAAGUGUAAGUCCU
This 449-nucleotide long non-coding RNA is filed under the name Homo sapiens (human). RNAcentral's name for it is "HSALNT0058519". Lineage: Eukaryota; Metazoa; Chordata; Mammalia; Primates; Hominidae. The record is from RNAcentral.